Molecule: ribosomal RNA, 492 nt
Filed under: uncultured bacterium
Lineage: Bacteria
Description: partial 16S ribosomal RNA
Rfam family: Bacterial small subunit ribosomal RNA
Source: RNAcentral
AGUGAACGCUGGCGGUAGGCCUAACACAUGCAAGUCGAACGGCAGCACAGUAAGAGCUUGCUCUUACGGGUGGCGAGUGGCGGACGGGUGAGGAAUACACAGGAAUCUACUUUUUCGUGGGGGAUAACGUAGGGAAACUUACGCUAAUACCGCAUACGACCUACGGGUGAAAGCAGGGGAUCUUCGGACCUUGCGCGAUUGAAUGAGCCGAUGUCGGAUUAGCUAGUUGGCGGGGUAAAGGCCCACCAAGGCGACGAUCCGUAGCUGGUCUGAGAGGAUGAUCAGCCACACUGGAACUGAGACACGGUCCAGACUCCUACGGGAGGCAGCAGUGGGGAAUAUUGGACAAUGGGCGCAAGCCUGAUCCAGCCAUACCGCGUGGGUGAAGAAGGCCUUCGGGUUGUAAAGCCCUUUUGUUGGGAAAGAAAAGCAGCAGGUUAAUACCCCGCUGUUCUGACGGUACCCAAAGAAUAAGCACCGGCUAACUUCGUG